This 450-nucleotide ribosomal RNA is filed under the name uncultured bacterium. RNAcentral's name for it is "bacterial SSU rRNA". It matches the Rfam family "Bacterial small subunit ribosomal RNA", at positions 29 to 526 of the family's 1533-position model. The record is from RNAcentral.
AACGAACGCUGGCGGCAGGCUUAACACAUGCAAGUCGAACGCCCCGCAAGGGGAGUGGCAGACGGGUGAGUAACACGUGGGAACGUACCCUUUUGUUCGGAAUAACCCUGGGAAACUAGGGCUAAUACCGGAUACGCCCUAACGGGGAAAGGUUUACUGCAGAAGGAUCGGCCCGCGUCCGAUUAGCUUGUUGGUGAGGUAAUGGCUCACCAAGGCUUCGAUCGGUAGCUGGUCUGAGAGGAUGACCAGCCACAUUGGGACUGAGACACGGCCCAAACUCCUACGGGAGGCAGCAGUGGGGAAUAUUGGACAAUGGGCGCAAGCCUGAUCCAGCCAUGCCGCGUGAGUGAUGAAGGCCUUAGGGUUGUAAAGCUCUUUUACCUGGGAAGAUCAUGACGGUACCAGGAGAAUAAGCCCCGGCUAACUUCGUGCCAGCCGCCGCAGUAACAC